RNAcentral lists this ribosomal RNA (464 nucleotides) under uncultured bacterium. RNAcentral's name for it is "partial 16S ribosomal RNA". It matches the Rfam family "Bacterial small subunit ribosomal RNA", at positions 339 to 795 of the family's 1533-position model. The record is from RNAcentral.
CUACGGGGGGCUCCAGUGGGGAAUAUUGCACAAUGGGCGCAAGCCUGAUGCAGCCAUGCCGCGUGUAUGAAGAAGGCCUUCGGGUUGUAAAGUACUUUCAGCGGGGAGGAAGGGAGUAAAGUUAAUACCUUUGCUCAUUGACGUUACCCGCAGAAGAAGCACCGGCUAACUCCGUGCCAGCAGCCGCGGUAAUACGGAGGGUGCAAGCGUUAAUCAGAAUUACUGGGCGUAAAGCGCACGCAGGCGGUUUGUUAAGUCAGAUGUGAAAUCCCCGGGCUCAACCUGGGAACUGCAUCUGAUACUGGCAAGCUUGGGUCUCGUAGAGGGGGGUAGAAUUCCAGGUGUAGCGGUGAAAUGCGUAGAGAUCUGGUGGAAUACCGGUGGCGAAGGCGGCCCCCUGGACGAAGACUGACGCUCAGGUGCGAAAGCGUGGGGAGCAAACAGGAUUAGAUACCCGCGUAGUC